Molecule: long non-coding RNA, 1857 nt
Filed under: Daucus carota (carrot)
Lineage: Eukaryota; Viridiplantae; Streptophyta; Magnoliopsida; Apiales; Apiaceae
Description: long non-coding RNA (DCAR_LNC007392)
Source: RNAcentral
GAGCGGAGCAUGAGGGUUAUGCGUUCGGCCUGGUUGUCGACCGCAGAGCACUCGGACUUGAAGGAGGUGGCGGCGGCAGCGGCGUGGCGGAGGCGGUCGGAGAGGAUGAUCGGGACGGAGAGGAGCUGGGCGAGUGGUGUGGGGUCAUCCGCCGCCAUUGAUUGUGUUUGUGUGUAUAGGUUUGGGAUUGUAUGUAUAGGUUGUGUUGUUUAAGGUAAGGGAAGUGUUGUAGAAGGGAAUGUAGGAUUUUGUGUUGAGAGAAGUGUGUUUUAUUGUCUUGAUGAGAUGGUCAGAUGGUGGGGUGUUUAUGGUGAGUCAGACUGUACAAGUACAAGUCUAGUCAUACUUGCUCAUUAGAGGGGCUGUCUGCUUCUGGCUUCUGCUUUUCUUGACCCGUUUGUGUAAAAAAGUAGAAGCACUUUUAAGAAGCUGAGAAUGCUAGCUUCUGUCUCACAGCUUCUGCUUCUUUUCCAAACACUUUAUUAACUUAUUUACUUCUCACUUCUAUUCCACUUUUUUACUUUAAGUAUAGAAUCACUUUUUUUAAACUUAGCCAAACGCCCCCUAAGAUUGACCACCUCACUUCGUUUACUCCGUCUGCUUCAAUUUUUACAAUGAGAUUAAUCAUAUUAAUAUAAGUUAUAUUUUUAAGUAAAUAUUUAAGUCAAUCUAUGUAUAAAGUCUUACUCCAAUAGAAACCUAACCUCUUUAUCCUGAAAACUAAAAAUCAAACUGAAAUAUCAUUAAAUUCUAAAGCAAAUACCACUAAAUUCUUAAACAACCUCAUCUCUAUCUUCAUCUUCACCAAACCCACCUACAUCUUCACCAACCCCAUCUCCACCACCACCACCUCCGUCGUCGCCUCCUUCAUAACCACUACCCCCUCUAUGCCGCCCGUCCCCUCCAUAACCACCACCUCCACCUCCAUUAUUUCUCUAACAACACAACCUCCACCUCCAUCUUCAUCAGUCCCAUCUUAAUCGUUGUUUCAACCUCCUUCAGCCCCGUUCAUACUUAUUUCUCCACCUCGACUCAACUUCAAAUGUGGAGCCGCCACUAUUCCGGCAACGCUCCAACCCCCUACUUCAAGCCGCCCAAACCUCCGCUACAAUCAUCUUUCUUUCAUCUCCACCUUCACCUCCACCAUUUCCACCACUAUCACCACCAUCUGAAUCGAAAACGUUAACAGAUCUGGAGAUUCUAAGCUGGAACAUAUCUGGAGAUUAAAUUUUCACUAAUUCAUGCAACACAGAUCACUAAACCUUAAAGAGAAUAUUACUAAAUUGUGCUGAAAAUAUCACUAACUUGUAUUGGUUUCUAGUUUUUAUUUUAAGAUUGGUUCCUAUUUGAUCAUGAGCCUAUAUAUAUAUAUAUAUAUACUGUAUAUAAUUCCAUGAGCGUCGGACAUGAGAUGAAAACUUUUAUAUAUGUGAUUUAAAUGUUGUGAAGUGUUUGUAUGAUAAUAUUACUCUAUGUAAAUUUAAAUACAUAAUAUUACUUGUGAACGAGCGCCAACGCCUUGGACAGAUUCUUAUCAACUUCGGCGACAAUACGACGCACCGGAGUGUCGUAUAACGAAGCGGUGGUCGUGGCGUAGCGAGCGGCGGAGCGGAGCAUGAGGGUUAUGCGUUCGGCCUGCUUGUCGACCUCCGAGCACUCGGACUUAAAGGAGUUGGCGGCGGCGGCGGCGUGGCGGAGGCGGUCGGAGAGGAUGAUCGGGACGGAGAGGAGCUGGGCUAGUGGUGUGGGGUCAUCCGCCGCCAUUGAUUGUGUUUGUGUGUAUAGGUUUGGGAUUGUAUGUAUAGGUUGUUUUGUUUAAGGUAAGGGAAGUGUAGAAGAAGGGAAUGUAAGAUUUUG